RNAcentral lists this ribosomal RNA (164 nucleotides) under uncultured bacterium. Its description in RNAcentral is "partial 16S rRNA". It matches the Rfam family "Bacterial small subunit ribosomal RNA", at positions 355 to 511 of the family's 1533-position model. The record is from RNAcentral.
UAGGGAAUCUUCCACAAUGGGCGCAAGCCUGAUGGAGCAACACCGCGUGAAUGAAGAAGGGUUUCGGCUCGUAAAGCUCUGUUGUUAAAGAAGAACACGUAUGAGAGUAACUGUUCAUACGUUGACGGUAUUUAACCAGAAAGUCACGGCUAACUACGUGCUAG